GUCCCCAUUUGCUGGAAGAGGAAAUGAGACAUUACAAAGUUAAGUAACUUGUGCCAGUUCACCAUUCAACAAAUAUUUAUUUAUUUAUUUUAUUUUUAAUUAACACAUUGUAAUUGUAUGUAUUUAUGGCCUAAAAUUUGUCUGAGGAAAUCGAUUUUGGAGUAAUGGUCUAAUUAGGAUGUACUCUUCUUUGGGCCAGUGUCUCAAACCUUAAAAUUUUCAGAGUUUUUUUUAAUAUGCUGAUGUCAACUGUGACUCUUCAAGAGGAUGACACAAUAUGCAGUGGUUCCUAACUUACUAAUACUAGGCACAGAACUCUCCAGGCAUCUCAAGGAACUAAUACAGUAAGUCCUCACUUAACAUUGUCACUAGGCUCCUGGAAACUGCAACUUUAUGUGAAAUGAUGUAUAAGAAAACUAAUUUUACCAUAGGCUAAUUGAUAU
RNAcentral lists this long non-coding RNA (443 nucleotides) under Homo sapiens (human). Its description in RNAcentral is "non-protein coding lnc-DPH6-4:1". Lineage: Eukaryota; Metazoa; Chordata; Mammalia; Primates; Hominidae. The record is from RNAcentral.